Molecule: long non-coding RNA, 525 nt
Organism: Esox lucius (northern pike)
Lineage: Eukaryota; Metazoa; Chordata; Actinopteri; Esociformes; Esocidae
Exons: 3
Source: RefSeq, a predicted model, not a curated record
ACAAAGAUAUUAAGAGGCUGCACACAGUACGUAGUAUGAACUAGUGAAUACAAAUAAUUUAAAUUAAGAUCGUGACAAGAACUUACAGGGACGAAACUGUCAUUAUUGAAAACCUCCACUGCUGUUUGUGUCUGAACUGGAGGCACAGUCACUCGGUUCUGCUGAAAAAGGACAAAGAUAAGAAAUGUAUCAGAACGUCGCUGUGUGCCGUCAGCAUUUCACCGGAGGACAAUGAGGGGAAUAUGGAGCCCAAGAUGAUGGGUAGUGAUUCAUCAACACAAUAACGUGUUUUCAUACCAAUAACAUUCCACUGAUAUUCCCAUAGAGAACUGGAGAUGAACAGCAAUCUGCCUCGCAGCCACCAGAGAAAAGGUCUACCUCUCUAGGUCUCUCUCACCUGGCGAUGGACAAGGGUGGUUGGACAAGGUGAUGUCAUCAACUGAUACUUAACUAUGCCAGGCAGGUGAAGAGCCAUGUUCCAGUACCAACACCAAUGGAAUGGUCCAUCCCUGUGAGCAAUCUCCA